Molecule: ribosomal RNA, 496 nt
Filed under: uncultured bacterium
Lineage: Bacteria
Description: partial 16S ribosomal RNA
Rfam family: Bacterial small subunit ribosomal RNA
Source: RNAcentral
GAUGAACGCUGGCGGCGUGCCUAAUACAUGCAAGUCGAGCGAACAGACGAGGAGCUUGCUCCUCUGACGUUAGCGGCGGACGGGUGAGUAACACGUGGAUAACCUACCUAUAAGACUGGGAUAACUUCGGGAAACCGGAGCUAAUACCGGAUAACAUGUUGAACCGCAUGGUUCAACAGUGAAAGACGGUCUUGCUGUCACUUAUAGAUGGAUCCGCGCCGCAUUAGCUAGUUGGUAAGGUAACGGCUUACCAAGGCAACGAUGCGUAGCCGACCUGAGAGGGUGAUCGGCCACACUGGAACUGAGACACGGUCCAGACUCCUACGGGAGGCAGCAGUAGGGAAUCUUCCGCAAUGGGCGAAAGCCUGACGGAGCAACGCCGCGUGAGUGAAGAAGGUCUUCGGAUCGUAAAACUCUGUUAUUAGGGAAGAACAAAUGUGUAAGUAACUAUGCACGUCCUGACGGUACCUAAUCAGAAAGCCACGGCUAACUACGU